AACGCACAUUGCGCCUCUUGGUUUUCCUUGGGGCAUACCUGUUCGAGCGCCGUUUAACUUCAUAAGGCCCUGCCUUGCGUUGAUGGAGCUCCUCGUUGGCGAGGAGCCCGUCCAAACUCGUGGGCGCCGCCACGGCCCUUAUCGCAGCGAAAAUGCGAAGUAAGGGAUCGAUGGCGACAGCCGAAGUCCACCGAUCGCAUGACCUCGGAUCAGGUAGGAAUACCCGCUGAACUUAA
Molecule: unclassified non-coding RNA, 236 nt
Filed under: uncultured Ascomycota
Lineage: Eukaryota; Fungi; Ascomycota
Description: sequence contains 5.8S rRNA gene, ITS2, 28S rRNA gene
Source: RNAcentral